Molecule: long non-coding RNA, 862 nt
Organism: Nerophis ophidion (straightnose pipefish)
Lineage: Eukaryota; Metazoa; Chordata; Actinopteri; Syngnathiformes; Syngnathidae
Exons: 3
Source: RefSeq, a predicted model, not a curated record
CUCUGUCAUCCAUGGCUUUAUGGACCUUGUGAUAUAUGGGGUGAUCGCAUCUUUCUGCGGGGUUCGUUCUCCAGUGAUGCAGACGGACGACACCGGACAAGGUGUGCAGGUAGGAACAUGAUUUAAUCUUCAAAAAUCUAAUACGUACCAAAAACAGAAAACAAGCAGAAGGGAAACUACAGUCUCCGUUCUAAUUCAUACCAAAGGUGUUCUAUCGGAGUUCAGGUCAGGACUCUGUGCAAGCCAGUCAAGUUCAUCCCACACCAGACUAUGUCAUCCAUGUUUUUAUGGUCCUUGUGUUACAUGUGGGGGGUCGCAUUUUUCUGCGAGGUUCGUUCUCCAGUGAUGCAGACGGACUACUCCGGUCAAGGCGUGCAGGUGAGGGGCCGCAUCUUUCUGCAGCGUUCGUUCCUCCAGUGAUGCAGACGGAAGACUCCGGACAAGGCGCGCAGGUGGGGGGCCGCAUCUUUCUGCAGGGUUUCGUUCUCCAGUGAUGCAGACGGACUACUCUGGACGAGGCGCGCAGGUAGGAACAUGAUCUUAUCUUCGAAAAUCAAAUAUGAACCAGAAACAGAAAACGAGCAGAAAGAAAACGUGCCGAUCGCACGUAGGAACAUGAUCUAAUCUUCGAAAAUCAAAUACGAACUAAAAACAGAAAACAAGCAGAAGGAAAACUACAGUCUCUGUUCUAAUUCAUACCAAAGGUGUUCUAUCGGAGUUCAGGUAAGGACUCUGUGCAGGCCAGUCAAGUUCAUCCCACACCAGACUCUGUCAUCCAUGUCUUUAUGGACCUUGUGUUACAUGGGGGGGGAUCGCAUCUUUCUGCGGGGUUCGUUCUCCAGUGAUGCAGACGGACGACUCC